RNAcentral lists this ribosomal RNA (207 nucleotides) under uncultured bacterium. RNAcentral describes it as "partial 16S ribosomal RNA". It matches the Rfam family "Bacterial small subunit ribosomal RNA", at positions 568 to 774 of the family's 1533-position model. The record is from RNAcentral.
CGUGUAGGCGGAUGGUCAAGUUUGCUGUGAAAGCGCCUGGCUUAACCGGGCGAGGUCGGCGAAAACUGGCCGUCUGGAGGGCGGUAGAGGGGGGUGGAAUUCCCGGUGUAGUGGUGAAAUGCGUAGAGAUCGGGAGGAACACCUGUGGCGAAGGCGGCCCCCUGGGCCGCACCUGACGCUGAGACGCGAAGGCGUGGGGAGCGAACG